This 891-nucleotide ribosomal RNA is filed under the name Steromphala divaricata. RNAcentral describes it as "partial 28S ribosomal RNA". It matches the Rfam family "Eukaryotic large subunit ribosomal RNA", at positions 401 to 1120 of the family's 3401-position model. Lineage: Eukaryota; Metazoa; Mollusca; Gastropoda; Trochida; Trochidae. The record is from RNAcentral.
GAAACCGUCUAGAGGUAAGCGGGUGGACCCGUCCAGUCGGCCCUCGGAAUUCAGCUUUCGGGACCGUCCGCUGGCGCUGCAAUGUGAUCCCUGGGACGCGUGCGGUGUCAGACCGGGCUCCUGAGAGUGCACUUUCCGUGUUGGCAGAGCGUCACGACCGGCUCGGCGGCGGUGAUAAGGCCCGGGGGAAGGUAGGUCGUGCGUCUUCGGGCGCACGACUGUUAUAGACCCUGGGAGAUAGCCGCUGCCGGGCUGUGGAUCGACCCGUCGUAUGGCAGUGGGGUUUCCCGCGUUCGUUCGACUCGGAAGGACUGGCUUGCCGUGCUUCCGGACUGCGAUGCGUGGGCGGACUCUGCGAUAGCCCGCGAUGUGUUAGGGUCAGUGACACACGAUCGGUAAUCCACCCGGCCCGUCUUGAAACACGGACCAAGAAGUCCAACAUGUGCGCGAGUCAUUGGGUCCUACGAAACCUAAAGGCGUAAUGAAGGUGAAGGCAGGUUCGGCCUGCUGAGGUGAGAUCCCGGCCCUCGGGCUGGGCGCAUCACCGGCCCGUCUGCAAAGGCGGAGCAAGAGCGCACACGUUGGGACCCGAAAGAUGGUGAACUAUGCCUGAGCAGGAUGAAGCCAGAGGAAACUCUGGUGGAAGUCCGUAGCGAUUCUGACGUGCAAAUCGAUCGUCGAACUUGGGUAUAGGGGCGAAAGACUAAUCGAACCAUCUAGUAGCUGGUUCCCUCCGAAGUUUCCCUCAGGAUAGCUGGCGCUCGUAACAGUUUUAUCCGGUAAAGCGAAUGAUUAGAGGCCUUGGGGACGAAACGUCCUCAACCUAUUCUCAAACUUUAAAUGGGUAAGGAGUCGGACUCGCUUAAUUGGAGUCCGGACUGGAAUGUGAGU